This is a long non-coding RNA of Benincasa hispida (wax gourd), 883 nucleotides long. RefSeq lists it as uncharacterized. NCBI's taxonomy places the organism in Eukaryota, Viridiplantae, Streptophyta, Magnoliopsida, Cucurbitales, Cucurbitaceae. The record is from RefSeq and is a predicted model, not a curated record.
AAAAAAAAUCUCUUUCAUUUUAAACAAAUUUUCUCCCUCCCUUUCACUCUCUCUUACCAAACCCUCUCUUCUCCAACAACGUAGAAUCCAAUCUUCAACAACGGAUCUUUGAUUUCGUGGGCAUUGUCAUUGUCGUGGGUCUCUGUCCAGCGUCCGACGUCUCCUUUCAUUCGAUGUUCCGUCCAGCUUUUGGGCGUUUCGUCCGGCGUCUUUUUCCGUCCAGUCGUACAGCUUCGUGGGAAUUCUAGCUUUUCCGAUCCAAUGGGUCCAGUGUUCGUGGCGUUCCGUCCAGCCGUCCAUAGAUCUGUACAUUCGAUGGGUCUGUAGAUCCGAUGGAUCCGGCGUUCGUGGCGUUCCAUCUGUAGAUCUGUCAAGCCAUCCGUAGAUCUGGCAUUCCAUCUGUAGAUCUGGUGUUCAAUUCGUAGAUCUGGCAUUCCAUCCGUAGAUCUAUUCAGCCGUCCGUAGAUCAUUGGUAGAUCUUCUCACCGUCCGUAGAUCUGGGAUUCUUUCAUCUCUUUGUUCGUAUUGUUCUUCCCCAAAUCCAGUAUCAUGACUAUCUAUAGGUUAUUACCGGAGAGGUGCUGCUUUUCUUGCUAUGGGGAAACUCAAAGAGGCACUUAAAGAUUUUCAACAAGUAUCUCAGGAUUUUAUCGUGAAGUCUCGAAUUUUUUCGUUACUGGAAGCUAUAACUCUUACUGGCUUUUAACGGCUAAAUAUCAGUUAUACUGCAUUGUUAUACUCAUUUGUGUAUCUAUUCCCUUUUAUCAGAAGAAAUUUCAGUUGAGAGUUUGUACUGUUGUAUGACCUUUAUGUCAUUAUUUGGACAAGUUAUUUGUUGAUUUCUCUUUCCCAAUAUGGUACUAAUGGCUGUUUGGAUAAUCAA